UAGGGAAUCUUCGGCAAUGGGGGGAACCCUGACCGAGCAACGCCGCGUGAGUGAAGAAGGUUUUCGGAUCGUAAAGCUCUGUUGUUAAGGAAGAACGAGUGUGAGAAUGGAAAGUUCAUACUGUGACGGUACUUAACCAGAAAGGGACGGCUAACUACGUGCCAGCAGCCGCGGUAAUACGUAGGUCCCGAGCGUUGUCCGGAUUUAUUGGGCGUAAAGCGAGCGCAGGCGGUUAGAAAAGUCUGAAGUGAAAGGCAGUGGCUCAACCAUUGUAGGCUUUGGAAACUGUUUAACUUGAGUGCAGAAGGGGAGAGUGGAAUUCCAUGUGUAGCGGUGAAAUGCGUAGAUAUAUGGAGGAACACCGGUGGCGAAAGCGGCUCUCUGGUCUGCAACUGACGCUGAGGCUCGAAAGCAUGGGUAGCGAACAGGAUUAGAUACCCUGGUAGUCCAUGCCGUAAACGAUGAGUGCUAAGUGUUGGGAGGUUUCCGCCUCUCAGUGCUGCAGCUAACGCAUUAAGCACUCCGCCUGGGGAGUACGACCGCAAGGUUG
This 550-nucleotide ribosomal RNA is filed under the name uncultured bacterium. RNAcentral describes it as "bacterial SSU rRNA". It matches the Rfam family "Bacterial small subunit ribosomal RNA", at positions 355 to 896 of the family's 1533-position model. The record is from RNAcentral.